GACGAACGCUGGCGGCGUGCCUAAUACAUGCAAGUCGAGCGAAGUUUUUCUGGUGCUUGCACUAGAAAAACUUAGCGGCGAACGGGUGAGUAACACGUAAAGAACCUGCCUCAUAGACUGGGACAACUAUUGGAAACGAUAGCUAAUACCGGAUAACAGCAUUAACUGCAUGGUUGAUGUUUAAAAGUUGGUUUUGCUAACACUAUGAGAUGGCUUUGCGGUGCAUUAGCUAGUUGGUGAGGUAAAGGCCUACCAAGGCGACGAUGCAUAGCCGACCUGAGAGGGUGAUCGGCCACACUGGGACUGAGACACGGCCCAGACUCCUACGGGAGGCAGCAGUAGGGAAUCUUCCGCAAUGGGCGAAAGCCUGACGGAGCAACGCCGCGUGAGUGAAGAAGGAUUUCGGUUCGUAAAGCUCUGUUGUUAGGGAAGAAUGAUUGUGUAGUAACUAUACACAGUAGAGACGGUACCUAACCAGAAAGCCACGGCUAACUACGUG
This 499-nucleotide ribosomal RNA is filed under the name uncultured bacterium. RNAcentral's name for it is "partial 16S ribosomal RNA". It matches the Rfam family "Bacterial small subunit ribosomal RNA", at positions 28 to 507 of the family's 1533-position model. The record is from RNAcentral.